GACAGAGGGUGCUAGCGUUGUUCGGAAUUACUGGGCGUAAAGGGCGCGUAGGCGGCUCGUUUAGUCGGGUGUGAAAUCCCAAGGCUCAACCUUGGAACUGCAUUCGAUACUGGCGGGCUAGAGACCGGAAGAGGUGGGUGGAAUACCCAGUGUAGAGGUGAAAUUCGUAGAUAUUGGGUGGAACACCGGUGGCGAAGGCGGGUCUCUGGGCCGAUAUUGACGCUGAGGAGCGAAAGCGUGGGGAGCGAACAGG
RNAcentral lists this ribosomal RNA (253 nucleotides) under uncultured bacterium. Its description in RNAcentral is "partial 16S ribosomal RNA". It matches the Rfam family "Bacterial small subunit ribosomal RNA", at positions 524 to 776 of the family's 1533-position model. The record is from RNAcentral.